RNAcentral lists this ribosomal RNA (468 nucleotides) under uncultured bacterium. Its description in RNAcentral is "partial 16S ribosomal RNA". It matches the Rfam family "Bacterial small subunit ribosomal RNA", at positions 28 to 507 of the family's 1533-position model. The record is from RNAcentral.
GACGAACGCUGGCGGCGUGCUUAACACAUGCAAGUCGAACGGAAAGGCCCUGCUUUUGUGGGGUGCUCGAGUGGCGAACGGGUGAGUAACACGUGAGUAACCUGCCCUUGACUUUGGGAUAACUUCAGGAAACUGGGGCUAAUACCGGAUAGGAGCUCCUGCUGCAUGGUGGGGGUUGGAAAGUUUCGGCGGUUGGGGAUGGACCCGCGGCUUAUCAGCUUGUUGGUGGGGUAGUGGCUUACCAAGGCUUUGACGGGUAGCCGGCCUGGGAGGGUGACCGGCCACCUUGGGACUGCGAUACGGCCCAGACUCCUACGGGAGGCAGCAGUGGGGAAUAUUGCACAAUGGGCGGAAGCCUGAUGCAGCAACGCCGCGUGCGGGAUGACGGCCUUCGGGUUGUAAACCGCUUUCGCCUGUGACGAAGCGUGAGUGACGGUAAUGGGUAAAGAAGCACCGGCUAACUACGUG